Molecule: transfer RNA, 90 nt
Filed under: Candidatus Uhrbacteria bacterium CG_4_9_14_3_um_filter_41_35
Lineage: Bacteria; Candidatus Uhriibacteriota
Also listed under: 1 other name
Description: tRNA-Ser
Rfam family: tRNA
About the family: Transfer RNA (tRNA) molecules are approximately 80 nucleotides in length. Their secondary structure includes four short double-helical elements and three loops (D, anti-codon, and T loops). Further hydrogen bonds mediate the characteristic L-shaped molecular structure. tRNAs have two regions of fundamental functional importance: the anti-codon, which is responsible for specific mRNA codon recognition, and the 3' end, to which the tRNAs corresponding amino acid is attached (by aminoacyl-tRNA synthetases). tRNAs cope with the degeneracy of the genetic code in two manners: having more than one tRNA (with a specific anti-codon) for a particular amino acid; and 'wobble' base-pairing, i.e. permitting non-standard base-pairing at the 3rd anti-codon position.
Source: RNAcentral
GGAGAGGUGACUGAGCGGUCGAAGGUAACGGUCUUGAAAACCGUCGUACCUGAAAGGGUACCGAGGGUUCGAAUCCCUCCCUCUCCGCCA